RNAcentral lists this ribosomal RNA (377 nucleotides) under uncultured bacterium. RNAcentral's name for it is "bacterial SSU rRNA". It matches the Rfam family "Bacterial small subunit ribosomal RNA", at positions 523 to 898 of the family's 1533-position model. The record is from RNAcentral.
AUACGUAGGUGGCAAGCGUUGUCCGGAAUUAUUGGGCGUAAAGCGCGCGCAGGCGGCUUCUUAAGUCUGAUGUGAAAUCUUGCGGCUCAACCGCAAACGGUCAUUGGAAACUGGGAAGCUUGAGUACAGAAGAGGAGAGUAGAAUUCCACGUGUAGCGGUGAAAUGCGUAGAUAUGUGGAGGAAUACCAGUGGCGAAGGCGGCUCUCUGGUCUGUAACUGACGCUGAGGUGCGAAAGCGUGAGGAGCAAACAGGAUUAGAUACCCUGGUAGUCCACGCCGUAAACGAUGAAUGCUAGGUGUUAGGGGGGUCCAACCCCUUAGUGCUGAAGUUAACACAUUAAGCAUUCCGCCUGGGGAGUACGACCGCAAGGUUGAA